RNAcentral lists this ribosomal RNA (478 nucleotides) under uncultured bacterium. Its description in RNAcentral is "partial 16S ribosomal RNA". It matches the Rfam family "Bacterial small subunit ribosomal RNA", at positions 28 to 523 of the family's 1533-position model. The record is from RNAcentral.
GACGAACGCUGGCGGCGUGCUUAACACAUGCAAGUCGAACGGUAAGGCCCUUCGGGGUACACGAGUGGCGAACGGGUGAGUAACACGUGGGUGAUCUGCCCUGCACUUCGGGAUAAGCCCGGGAAACUGGGUAUAAUACCGGAUAGGACUCCGGACUGCAUGGUCUGGGGUGGAAAGCUUUUGCGGGGUGGGAUGGGCCCGCGGCCUAUCAGCUUGUUGGUGGGGUGAUGGCCUACCAAGGCGACGACGGGUAGCCGGCCUGAGAGGGCGACCGGCCACACUGGGACUGAGACACGGCCCAGACUCCUACGGGAGGCAGCAGUGGGGAAUAUUGCACAAUGGGCGCAAGCCUGAUGCAGCGACGCCGCGUGAGGGAUGAAGGUCUUCGGAUUGUAAACCUCUUUCAGUAGGGACGAAGCGAAAGUGACGGUACCUAAAGAAGAAGCACCGGCUAACUACGUGCCAGCCGCCGCGGUAA